CCUACGGGAGGCAGCAGUGAGGAAUAUUGGUCAAUGGACGAGAGUCUGAACCAGCCAAGUAGCGUGAAGGAUGACUGCCCUAUGGGUUGUAAACUUCUUUUAUAAAGGAAUAAAACGAGGCACGUGUGCCUUUUUGCAUGUACUUUAUGAAUAAGGAUCGGCUAACUCCGUGCCAGCAGCCGCGGUAAUACGGAGGGUCCGAGCGUUCUCCGGAUUUAUUGGGUUUAAAGGGAGCGUAGAUGGGUUGUUAAGUCAGUUGUGAAAGUUUGCGGCUCAACCGUAAAAUUGCCAUUGAUACUGGCAGGCUGGAGUACAGUUGAGGUAGGCGGAAUGCGUGGUGUAGCGGUGAAAUGCUUAGAUAUCACGAAGAACCCCGAUUGCGAAGGCAGCUUACUAAACUGUGACUGACAUUGAUGCUCGAAAGUGUGGGUAUCAAACAGGAUUAGAUACCCGAGUAGUC
Molecule: ribosomal RNA, 460 nt
Filed under: uncultured bacterium
Lineage: Bacteria
Description: partial 16S ribosomal RNA
Rfam family: Bacterial small subunit ribosomal RNA
Source: RNAcentral